GGCCUUCGGGUUGUAAAGCCCUUUCGGCAGGGAAGAAAUCGGCGGGGCGAAUAACCCUGCUGGAUGACGGUACCUGCAGAAGAAGCACCGGCUAACUACGUGCCAGCAGCCGCGGUAAUACGUAGGGUGCGAGCGUUAAUCGGAUUUACUGGGCGUAAAGCGUGCGCAGGCGGCCCGUUAAGACAGGUGUGAAAUCCCUGGGCUCAACCUAGGAAUUGCGCUUGUGACUGGCGGGCUCGAGUACGGUAGAGGGGGGUGGAAUUCCUGGUGUAGCAGUGAAAUGCGUAGAGAUCAGGAGGAACACCGAUGGCGAAGGCAGCCCCCUGGGCCUGUACUGACGCUCAUGCACGAAAGCGUGGGGAGCAAACAGGAUUAGAUACCCUGGUAGUCC
Molecule: ribosomal RNA, 391 nt
Filed under: uncultured bacterium
Lineage: Bacteria
Description: bacterial SSU rRNA
Rfam family: Bacterial small subunit ribosomal RNA
Source: RNAcentral